RNAcentral lists this ribosomal RNA (505 nucleotides) under uncultured bacterium. RNAcentral describes it as "bacterial SSU rRNA". It matches the Rfam family "Bacterial small subunit ribosomal RNA", at positions 337 to 834 of the family's 1533-position model. The record is from RNAcentral.
UCCUACGGGAGGCAGCAGUGGGGAAUUUUGGACAAUGGGCGAAAGCCUGAUCCAGCAAUGCCGCGUGUGUGAAGAAGGCCUUCGGGUUGUAAAGCACUUUUGUCCGGAAAGAAAUCCUGGUGGSUAAUAUCCGCCGGGGAUGACGGUGCCGGAAGAAUAAGCACCGGCUAACUACGUGCCAGCAGCCGCGGUAAUACGUAGGGUGCGAGCGUUAAUCGGAAUUACUGGGCGUAAAGCGUGCGCAGGCGGUGAUGUAAGACCGAUGUGAAAUCCCCGGGCUUAACCUGGGAACUGCAUUGGUGACUGCMUCGCUGGAGUAUGGCMGAGGGGGGUAGAAUUCCACGUGUAGCARUGAAAUGCGUAGAGAUGUGGAGGAAUACCGAUGGCGAAGGCAGCCCCCUGGGCCAAUACUGACGCUCAUGCACGAAAGCGUGGGGAGCAAACAGGAUUAGAUACCCUGGUAGUCCACGCCCUAAACGAUGUCAACUGGUUGUCGGGCCUUCAU